GCCAGUGUGGCAUAGUGGUUUGUGUGUUGUGUUCGACUACAACUCUGGAGACCAGGGUUCGAUUCCCUGCUCGGCCA
Molecule: non-coding RNA, 77 nt
Organism: Phrynosoma platyrhinos (Desert horned lizard)
Lineage: Eukaryota; Metazoa; Chordata; Lepidosauria; Squamata; Phrynosomatidae
Source: the annotation of a GenBank genome assembly